GUUGAUCCCGCCGGACCCCACUGCUAUCGGGAUAGGACUAAGACAUGCUAGUCGUGCGCUCAGCCAACACGAAGCGCGGCAUACAGCUCAGUAACACGUGGCUAAUCUGCCCUUGGGACGAGAACAACCCCGGGAAACUGGGGCUAAUUCUUGAUAGGCGAAGAACUCUGGAAUGAGUCUUCACUUAAAAAGUUUAGAGUUAUGCUCUUUAAACCGCCCAAGGAUGAGGCCGCGACCGAUCAGGUUGUUGGUGAGGUAAUGGCUCACCAAGCCUUUUACCAGUGCGGGCCGUGAGAGCGGGAGCCCGGAGAUGGGCACUGAGACAAGGGCCCAGGCCCUACGGGGCGCAGCAGUCGCGAAAACUUUGCAAUACACGAAAGUGUGACAGGGCUAUCCCGAGUGCCAUCCGCUGAGGAAGGCUUUUACCCAGUCUAGAACGCUGGGGGAAUAAGGAGAGGGCAAGUCUGGUGUCAGCCGCCGCGGUAAUACCAGCUCUCCGAGUGGUGUGGAUGUUUAUUGGGCCUAAAGCAUCCGUAGCUGGCUAGGUUAGUCCCUUGUUAAAUCCCCGAA
This 570-nucleotide ribosomal RNA is filed under the name uncultured archaeon. RNAcentral's name for it is "bacterial SSU rRNA". It matches the Rfam family "Archaeal small subunit ribosomal RNA", at positions 7 to 557 of the family's 1478-position model. The record is from RNAcentral.